This 464-nucleotide ribosomal RNA is filed under the name uncultured bacterium. RNAcentral describes it as "partial 16S ribosomal RNA". It matches the Rfam family "Bacterial small subunit ribosomal RNA", at positions 338 to 795 of the family's 1533-position model. The record is from RNAcentral.
CCUAGGGAGGCAGCAGUGGGGAAUAUUGCGCAAUGGGCGAAAGCCUGAAGCAGCGACGCCGCGUGAGGGAUGAAGGUCUUCGGAUCGUAAACCUCUGUCAGCAGGGAAGAACGGUCACUGUGCUAAUCAGCAGUGAAUUGACGGUACCUGCAAAGGAAGCACCGGCUAACCCCGUUCCAGCAGCCGCGGUAAUACGGAGGGUGCGAGCGUUAAUCGGAAUUACUGGGCGUAAAGCGCGCGUAGGCGGUAUGUGAAGUCAAGGGUGAAAUCCCCGGGCUCAACCUGGGAACGGCCUUUGAAACUGGCAAACUGGAGUGUGUAAGAGGAUAGUGGAAUUCCAGGUGUAGCAGUGAAAUCCGUAGAUAUCUGGAGGAACAUCAGUGGCGAAGGCGACUAUCUGGCACAUAACUGACGCUGAGGAGCGAAAGCGUGGGUAGCAAACAGGAUUAGAUACCCCUGUAGUC